GUCUUGUAAUUGGAAUGAUGGUGACCUAAACCCUCACCAGAGUAACAAUUGGAGGGCAAGUCUGGUGCCAGCAGCCGCGGUAAUUCCAGCUCCAAUAGCGUAUAUUAAACUUGUUGCAGUUAAAAAGCUCGUAGUUGAAUUUUUGCGUGGUGUUAAUAUUGACUAAUGUCGAGAUUGCACUUCGCUUUUGGGAUUUAUCCCUUUUUACUUUGAGAAAAUUAGAGUGUUUCAAGCAGACUUUUGUCUUGAAUACUUCAGCAUGGAAUAAUAGAGUAGGACUUUGGUUCUAUUUUGUUGGUUUGUGAACCUUAGUAAUGGUUAAUAGGAACGGUUGGGGGCAUUCGUAUUUAACUGUCAGAGGUGAAAUUCUUAGAUUUGUUAAAGACGAACUACUGCGAAAGCAUUUGCCAAGGACGUUUUCAUAAUCAAGAACGAAAGU
Molecule: ribosomal RNA, 439 nt
Filed under: Babesia cf. divergens
Lineage: Eukaryota; Apicomplexa; Aconoidasida; Piroplasmida; Babesiidae
Description: SSU rRNA
Rfam family: Eukaryotic small subunit ribosomal RNA
Source: RNAcentral